This 253-nucleotide ribosomal RNA is filed under the name uncultured bacterium. RNAcentral's name for it is "partial 16S ribosomal RNA". It matches the Rfam family "Bacterial small subunit ribosomal RNA", at positions 524 to 776 of the family's 1533-position model. The record is from RNAcentral.
UACGUAGGGUGCGAGCGUUGUCCGGAAUUACUGGGCGUAAAGAGCUCGUAGGUGGUUUGUCGCGUUGUUCGUGAAAACUCACAACUCAAUUGUGGGCGUGCGGGCGAUACGGGCAGACUGGAGUACUGCAGGGGAGACUGGAACUCCUGGUGUAGCGGUGGAAUGCGCAGAUAUCAGGAGGAACACCGGUGGCGAAGGCGGGUCUCUGGACAGUUCCUGACGCUGAGGCACGAAGGCCAGGGGAGCAAACGGG